UACAGAGGGUGCAAGCGUUAAUCGGAGUUACUGGGCGUAAAGGGCGCGUAGGUGGUUGAUUAAGUUAGAUGUGAAAUCCCUGGGCUUAACCUAGGAACUGCAUCUAAUACUGAUUGACUAGAGUAUUGUAGAGGGUAGUGGAAUUUCCGGUGUAGCGGUGAAAUGCGUAGAGAUCGGAAGGAACACCAGUGGCGAAGGCGGCUACCUGGACAAAUACUGACACUGAGGCGCGAAAGCGUGGGGAGCAAACAGG
This 253-nucleotide ribosomal RNA is filed under the name uncultured bacterium. Its description in RNAcentral is "partial 16S ribosomal RNA". It matches the Rfam family "Bacterial small subunit ribosomal RNA", at positions 524 to 776 of the family's 1533-position model. The record is from RNAcentral.